UCUUCGAUGGUCUAGUGGUCAUGAUUUCCGCUUGUCAAGAUUCACAUCUAACAAGCGCGGGAGACCGGGGUUCGAUUCCCCGUCGGAGAG
This 90-nucleotide transfer RNA is filed under the name Glonium stellatum. It matches the Rfam family "tRNA". Rfam says of the family: Transfer RNA (tRNA) molecules are approximately 80 nucleotides in length. Their secondary structure includes four short double-helical elements and three loops (D, anti-codon, and T loops). The record is from Rfam by way of RNAcentral. Lineage: Eukaryota; Fungi; Ascomycota; Dothideomycetes; Gloniales; Gloniaceae.